UCGGGAAUUUUGGGCAAUGGGGGCAACCCUGAUCCAGCGAUGCCGCGUGUGUGAAGAAGGCCUGCGGGUUGUAAAGCACUUUAGUUGGGGAGGAAAGGUAUGUACUGCAUAAGUGCAUGCUGUGACGUUACCCAAAGAAUAAGCACCGGCAAACUCUGUGCCAGCAGCCGCGGUAAUACAGAGGGUGCAAGCGUUAAUCGGACUUACUGGGCGUAAAGGGCGCGUAGGCGGAAAGACAAGUCAGAUGUGAAAUCCUGGGGCUCAACCUCAGAACUGCAUUUGAAACUAUCAUUCUAGAGGGUAGGAGGAGAAAACGGAAUUCCACAAGUAGCGGUGAAAUGCGUAGAUAUAGGAAGGAACACCAGUGGCGAAGGCGACCACCUGGACUGAUACUGACACUGAGGUGCGAAAGCGUGGGGAGCAAACAGGAUUAGAUACCCAGGUAGUCCCUGAGCGGGCUGGCAAGGCGCAU
This 472-nucleotide ribosomal RNA is filed under the name uncultured bacterium. RNAcentral describes it as "bacterial SSU rRNA". It matches the Rfam family "Bacterial small subunit ribosomal RNA", at positions 355 to 825 of the family's 1533-position model. The record is from RNAcentral.